CAACUUUCAACAACGGAUCUCUUGGUUCUGGCAUCGAUGAAGAACGCAGCGAAAUGCGAUAAGUAGUGUGAAUUGCAGAAUUCAGUGAAUCAUCGAAUCUUUGAACGCACAUUGCGCCCUUUGGUAUUCCAAAGGGCAUGCCUGUUCGAGCGUCAUUUGUACCCUCAAGCUU
RNAcentral lists this ribosomal RNA (172 nucleotides) under Alternaria tenuissima. RNAcentral describes it as "5.8S ribosomal RNA". The stretch from base 2 to 155 matches the Rfam family "5.8S ribosomal RNA". From Rfam's summary of the family: 5.8S ribosomal RNA (5.8S rRNA) is a component of the large subunit of the eukaryotic ribosome. It is transcribed by RNA polymerase I as part of the 45S precursor that also contains 18S and 28S rRNA. Functionally, it is thought that 5.8S rRNA may be involved in ribosome translocation. Lineage: Eukaryota; Fungi; Ascomycota; Dothideomycetes; Pleosporales; Pleosporaceae. The record is from RNAcentral.